Heterocephalus glaber (naked mole-rat) is the source of this 712-nucleotide long non-coding RNA. The record is from Ensembl. Lineage: Eukaryota; Metazoa; Chordata; Mammalia; Rodentia; Bathyergidae.
GUAAGAUGCGCGCCAUCCUCCUGGGCUAAGAAAUGUCGUUCCUUCGGCCUUAAUUAGUAGGAAACCCUUCUUUCCAAGUUUUAAUGAGCACUUGUUCUCUAGAGCAGUCACUAGGUGGUCCCCAUGGGCCAAGACCUGGAAGAACUGUUCCCAUACAGUUGGAUAGCUUAUUGUACUUACCCCGGAUUAAUAAGAUACUAAGAGUCUCAUGGUCUCCAGGUCUACCAUAUCAGAAGGUAGAAAAGGCCUCCCAUGUAAACCUUAAAUGGACUCAACCCUGUUUUUGGUGUUUUGAAUCACAGGGUUAUUGGCAAUAAUCGGAGCCAAGACUCAGUCUCUUGGCAAAGUUUUGUCAGUUUGCUUUAGGGUCUAGCUGGCCCUCUUGACUGUUCUGGAGGACUGAGAUCUCCAUGGAGAAUAGAGACGGGAGAUAGUACUUUAUCCCUACAGCCUUUGCCACCUCAAGUUUUUUGAGAGGUAAAAUGUUAUUGCCACUCUGAAGGAACUGGAGCAGUCCAAACCAGGGAAUUUCUUUGAAGGAAGCACCUCAACACUACCUCCAUAGCCUUCUUUGAACAGGCAUCUGACAGCUCCCUGGCUGACAAGUGCGAGUCCGAUCUGGAGAAGGUGCUGGCUCCAGUAGCCUGAGGGUGACCCUGGUGAGAUAUGAUUGUGCAGCAAACUGUUACCUCCCUGCCUUUUCCUGAAGGAU